Molecule: microRNA precursor, 108 nt
Filed under: Olea europaea subsp. europaea
Lineage: Eukaryota; Viridiplantae; Streptophyta; Magnoliopsida; Lamiales; Oleaceae
Source: RNAcentral
AAAGGAGGAAUUCAAAGGGAUAGCUUGAUCCCAAUUCAAUAUCUAACUAAAUAUUGGCUGCAACAUUAAUAGAGUUGAGAUCAAUGCGAUCCCUUUGGAUGCCUCCUU